Vigna radiata var. radiata (mung bean) is the source of this 1036-nucleotide long non-coding RNA. RefSeq lists it as uncharacterized. Lineage: Eukaryota; Viridiplantae; Streptophyta; Magnoliopsida; Fabales; Fabaceae. The record is from RefSeq and is a predicted model, not a curated record. The transcript is spliced from 2 exons.
GGAAAAAAAUAUGACAUCAGAUUUGACCUAAUUUGGUACUCCCCUGUUAUCCAUUGCUGAAUACAAACAGCGGCUAGGGUUGUCUCUGUUGUUUCAUUCCAAAGUUUUCUUCUUUUCUGCCAAAUCCUUUCACACUGAGCCCCCUUUCCCUGAUGCUCACAAUCUUCUCCACGCUACUUCUAUUUUCCUUUAUAAGCAGAUGGAGAUCAAGGGAAUUAGCCCUGAAUUUUUCAUUCUUGAAGCGUCACUUAUCAUGAAAGGUGAGUGCUUUCUUAACCUAAUUCAGAUUCAGAUAAAUCACGUUGGAUUUUUGUAUGAGUUGAAGAAAGCGUUCAAUUUCAUGACAAGUGAUUUCACAAGAAUAUUUUGUCAACAAAGCCUGAUGUGGUAAUGUAUAGCACAAUUAUUCACACUUUAUUCAAAGGUAGAGUUGCAGACGAUGGUUAUGGUUUGUAUUCUGAAAUUAUUGUCAAUGGAAUUUUUCAUAAUCUUUUGAUCUAUAACAGUGUAGUUUAUGGUUUUUUCAUUGCUGAUAAUUUGCUAGAAGCUAUUGGUUUUGUAAAUGAAAUGAUAUUGAACCGUCUCGAACAGAGAAGGUGGAUAGCCGGAAUGUGAUCGAUCCGGCUUCAGAAGAACCUUAAUCAAAAUAAAGGUUAAUCUUAAGUUGAGGAAAGGGGAAAAAAAGGUACCGAUGGUCGGAGUAUUAUUUUGACAGGUACCGCUGACAGUAACGUUUAAUGGACUAAUUAAAGAGUGGAUGAGGUCAUGAAUCUUUCAGAAAGUAUGGAGUUCCUGAGAUAGUGACUUAUACUUCUCUUGUCGAUGGUUUAUGCAAAUGUGAAAGAAUCUCUUGUGUUUGGAUCUUACUGAUGAGAUUGAAAUCAAAAACCAAAUAGCUUAUCUGUAUUGUAGUAAUGAUUUUGAUGUAUUGCUGUGGAUUUACAUCUAUUACCAUAGCACUUGUAGUAGGGUGAAAGACAAGAUCGCAUUAAUUUACAGUAACCAAAAUAAUGUUAUUCUUCCUGUCUCUCCAUAA